RNAcentral lists this ribosomal RNA (396 nucleotides) under uncultured bacterium. RNAcentral describes it as "partial 16S ribosomal RNA". It matches the Rfam family "Bacterial small subunit ribosomal RNA", at positions 360 to 773 of the family's 1533-position model. The record is from RNAcentral.
AAUAUUGCACAAUGGGGGAAACCCUGAUGCAGCGACGCCGCGUGAGCGAAGAAGGCCUUCGGGUAGUAAAGCUCUGUCCUAAGGGAAGAAACGGACGGUACAUUAGGAGGAAGCCCCGGCUAACUACGUGCCAACAGCCGCGGUAAUACGUAGGGGGCAAGCGUUGUCCGGAAUUAUUGGGCGUAAAGGGUGGGGAGGCGGCCUUUUAAGUCAGGUGUGAAAGCCCACGGCCUAACCGUGGGAUUGCAUUUGAAACUGGAAGGCUUGAGUAUCGGAGAGGGUAGUGGAAUUCCCAGUGUAGCGGUGGAAUGCGUAGAUAUUGGGAGGAACACCAGUGGCGAAGGCGACUACCUGGACGAAAACUGACGCUGAGGCACGAAAGCUAGGGGAGCAAAC